UUGGAGGGCAAGUCUGGUGCCAGCAGCCGCGGUAAUUCCAGCUCCAAUAGCGUAUAUUAAAGUUGUUGCAGUUAAAAAGCUCGUAGUUGAAUUUCGGGGUUUAUACGUUGGUCGGGCUUUUGGGUCUGUACUGGCGUAAUGAAUUCCUACCUUCUGAAUAACCAGCAUGUCAUUAAUUUGAUGCGCCGGGGAAGCAGGACUGUUACCUUGAAAAAAUUAGAGUGCUUAAAGCAGGCUAUUGCCUGAAUACAUUAGCAUGGAAUAAUGAAAUAGGACGGCAUGGUUCUAUUUUGUUGGUUUCUAGGAUCACCGUAAUGAUUAAUAGGGAUAGUUGGGGGCAUUAGUAUUCAAUUGUCAGAGGUGAAAUUCUUGGAUUUAUUGAAGACUAACUAUUGCGAAAGCAUUUGCCAAGGAUGUUUUCAUUAAUCAAGAACGAAAGUUAGGGGAUCGAAGACGAUCAGAUACCGUCGUAGUCUUAACCAUAAACUAUGCCGACUAGGAAUCGGGCGUCGUUAUUUUCACGACUCGUUCGGCGCCUUACGGGAAAC
This 548-nucleotide ribosomal RNA is filed under the name uncultured Acaulosporaceae. RNAcentral's name for it is "SSU rRNA". It matches the Rfam family "Eukaryotic small subunit ribosomal RNA", at positions 548 to 1098 of the family's 1831-position model. Lineage: Eukaryota; Fungi; Glomeromycota; Glomeromycetes; Diversisporales; Acaulosporaceae. The record is from RNAcentral.